Pygocentrus nattereri (red-bellied piranha) is the source of this 724-nucleotide long non-coding RNA. RefSeq lists it as uncharacterized. NCBI's taxonomy places the organism in Eukaryota, Metazoa, Chordata, Actinopteri, Characiformes, Serrasalmidae. The record is from RefSeq and is a predicted model, not a curated record. The transcript is spliced from 2 exons.
GGACUCCAUUCCCCAGAAUCUCCUGGGGGAUCAGGUGACACCUGACCUUCCAAUAUGCUCCAAUCAGCGCUCUCCUUCAUCUGAGUACUGAUCUAUAACACCUGCUGUUUUGAUCACGUGACUAUUUAGUGUUAGUUUAAAGCCUGGGUUUUUAGACUAGCUUUUUGUGAGGUAUUGCUUCUUUCACAGAGCUGCUGAGUGGUUAUUCUGGCAGCGGUGCCACAUGACCGAGUGUGGCACACAAUGAGCGUCUCUUCAGUCCAGCAGGUGUAGGAGAAGAGCCGGGCACCCACUCUGUAAUCAGCGCGUUGGGGGACAGGAUUUGGGCUGCAACAAAUUGGAUCCACAUGGUGUUUAAUGGGCAUUAAUCACAGAGAGAGGCGACCGUUCUGCGUAAGCCACGUCAGCCGCCUCCAGAGCUGGCUAAUCAGUGUCAUCUCAUCGCGCCUCCAUCAGCCCCCCUGUCACCCCCAACAAAACCACCACCACCACUGUAUCUCAGGCUCCACGCACCAGAUUGAAAGGGGGAAGUGUCAUUUGCGUCAGGGCUCCAGUUCCGGGCUCUGGUACCCCUUCAUAAUUGGUGCUUUUCUUGACGCUUCCUCAGACCAAGGUGUGACCAGUAGAGAAUCAGAGAAUGACUAGCGUGCCAGUGUCAGCCCCAAGAACCUGCAGCAGUGGAUCCUUUUUCCAAGCAUAAAAAUAUACACGGUUUUCCCAGAAA